AGUGGGGAAUAUUGCACAAUGGGCGCAAGCCUGAUGCAGCAACGCCGCGUGAAUGAUGAAGGCCUUCGGGUCGUAAAGUUCUGUCCAAAGGGAAGAAUACAGUGACGGUACCUUUGGAGGAAGCCCCGGCUAACUACGUGCCAGCAGCCGCGGUAAUACGUAGGGGGCAAGCGUUAUCCGGAAUCACUGGGCGUAAAGGGAGCGUAGGCGGUUUGACAAGCCAGAGGUGAAAGGCAAUAGCUUAACUAUUGUAAGCCUUUGGAACUGUCGAACUUGAGUGCAGGAGAGGAAAGUGGAAUUCCUAGUGUAGCGGUGAAAUGCGUAGAUAUUAAGGAGGAACACCAGUGGCGAAGGCGACUUUCUGGACUGUAACUGACGCUGAGGCUCGAAAGCGUGGGGAGCGAACAGGAUUAGAUACCCUGGUAGUCCACGCUGUAAACGAUGAAUACUAGGUGUCUGGUGUCAAAGCUAGGUGCCGCAGCU
This 483-nucleotide ribosomal RNA is filed under the name uncultured bacterium. RNAcentral's name for it is "bacterial SSU rRNA". It matches the Rfam family "Bacterial small subunit ribosomal RNA", at positions 353 to 853 of the family's 1533-position model. The record is from RNAcentral.